This 284-nucleotide long non-coding RNA is filed under the name Lathyrus oleraceus (garden pea). RNAcentral's name for it is "Pisum sativum (pea) long non-coding RNA (PSAT_LNC014836)". The record is from RNAcentral. Lineage: Eukaryota; Viridiplantae; Streptophyta; Magnoliopsida; Fabales; Fabaceae.
UCAACCUCUCCAUCUUCUGAUAAAGACCUAGGAGGAUGACUUGCUUAUUUCACAUGAUAUGCAAAGAUGUAAUGCCUAAUGUCCUACCAAAUGAAAUGCAAAAUGCUAAGCUAGUCCCAAGAGAGGAGGGCAAAUUUUGAGGUGUUACACUUUAGCUCAAGGAAUUCAAUCUCUUUGUUGCUACAAACAUUAGUAGGAAAGUACUUCUCAAGGAAUUUAGAGUUGAAAUUCUCCAAAGUGAUCUUAGUACCUGCAGCUUCAAGCCUCUGAGGGGCAUUAUCCUA